This 253-nucleotide ribosomal RNA is filed under the name uncultured bacterium. RNAcentral describes it as "partial 16S ribosomal RNA". It matches the Rfam family "Bacterial small subunit ribosomal RNA", at positions 524 to 776 of the family's 1533-position model. The record is from RNAcentral.
UACAGAGGUCCCAAGCGUUGUUCGGAUUCACUGGGCGUAAAGGGUGCGUAGGUGGUGAGGUAAGUCGGAUGUGAAAGCUCGGAGCUCAACUCCGAAAUGGCAUUGGAAACUACCUUGCUCGAGGGUUGGAGGGGGGACUGGAAUGCUUGGUGUAGCAGUGAAAUGCGUAGAUAUCAAGCGGAACACCAGCGGCGAAGGCGAGUCCCUGGACAACUCCUGACACUGAGGCACGAAAGCUAGGGGAGCAAACGGG